Molecule: unclassified non-coding RNA, 247 nt
Filed under: uncultured Lasiosphaeriaceae
Lineage: Eukaryota; Fungi; Ascomycota; Sordariomycetes; Sordariales; Lasiosphaeriaceae
Description: sequence contains ITS2
Source: RNAcentral
AACGCACAUUGCGCCCGCUAGUAUUCUGGCGGGCAUGCCUGUUCGAGCGUCAUUUCAACCAUCAAGCCCCUGUGCUUGUGUUGGAGCCCUGCGGCUGCCGCAGGCUCCCAAACCCAGUGGCGGGCUCGUCGUCGUACCGAGUGCAGUAAACAUACCACGCUCAGGGCACGCGACGGGUGACCGGCCGUAAAACCCCCAACUUCUCAAGGUUGACCUCGGAUCAGGUAGGAAUACCCGCUGAACUUAA